UACGGAGGGUGCAAGCGUUGCUCGGAAUUAUUGGGCGUAAAGGGUUGGUAGGUGGUCUCAUUUGUCAGGGGUGAAAGCCUUGGGCUUAACCCAAGAAGUGCCCCUGAAACGGUGAGACUAGAGUACUGGAGAGGGUCGUGGAAUACCCGGUGUAGCGGUGAAAUGCGUAGAGAUCGGGUGGAACACCAGAGGCGAAGGCGGCGACCUGGACAGUGACUGACACUCAACAACGAAAGCGUGGGGAGCAAACAGG
Molecule: ribosomal RNA, 253 nt
Filed under: uncultured bacterium
Lineage: Bacteria
Description: partial 16S ribosomal RNA
Rfam family: Bacterial small subunit ribosomal RNA
Source: RNAcentral